Molecule: long non-coding RNA, 491 nt
Organism: Hydra vulgaris (swiftwater hydra)
Lineage: Eukaryota; Metazoa; Cnidaria; Hydrozoa; Anthoathecata; Hydridae
Source: RefSeq, a predicted model, not a curated record
GCGAAUGUAAAGCAAUUAAGUUAUAUUAACUUUGCAUUCACUUAUAUUACACACGAUUUGAUAGCUUAAAAAUAUUGGUGUCGACUUUUUAAAAAGAUUUUUACAGAUAUAGUUCAAAAAUAUAAAGUUUAAAAAAAAAUGCGCUUUGUUAUACUUAUGCUCUUGGUUUCACUUCUUAAUUUCGAAUACGUCCAAAGUAUGGUUGAUAAAACUUGGAAAGUUUUAAAGAAAGAGGAAAGUUACAAAAGAGCGGCCGAAAUAGUUGUUAACAAAUUGACAUCAAAAGUAAUGAACAUGAUAAAUGAUGUGGAACUGUUAGAUGAUUAAUAAAGAAGAAAGCAUAUGCAAAACCAAAAUAUCAGUUUAACUACUAUUUUUAAUUUUUAUGUUUACAUAAAAACUUAAAAAGAGUAAAAAUAAACUUAUCUGCAAAAAAAAACAGGCACUAAAAUGUUUAAACUGUUUGAUUAAGAAAAGAAAUUUUCAUGUGA